GACGAACGCUGGCGGCGUGCUUAAUACAUGCAAGUCAACGACUUUUAGAGUAGCAAUAUUUUAAAGGAAGUGGCGCACGGGUGAGUAACACGUAGGUAAUCUGCCUUCAGGACUGACACAACUCGUCGAAAGACGGGCUAAUAUCAGAUAAUGCAGCGGCUCCGCAUGGAGACAGUUGUUAAAGUACAAGCGCCUGAAGAUGAGCCUGCGGUCCAUUAGCUAGUUGGUAGAGUAACAGCCUACCAAGGCAACGAUGGAUAGCUGGUCUGAGAGGAUGAUCAGCCACACUGGAACUGAGACACGGUCCAGACUCCUACGGGAGGCAGCAGUAAGGAUAUUGCUCAAUGGCCGAAAGGCUGAAGCAGCAACGCCGCGUAGAAGGAUGAAUGGCCUUUGGCCUGUAAACUU
Molecule: ribosomal RNA, 408 nt
Filed under: uncultured bacterium
Lineage: Bacteria
Description: bacterial SSU rRNA
Rfam family: Bacterial small subunit ribosomal RNA
Source: RNAcentral